Molecule: unclassified non-coding RNA, 319 nt
Filed under: Basidiomycota sp.
Lineage: Eukaryota; Fungi; Basidiomycota
Description: partial contains small subunit ribosomal RNA, internal transcribed spacer 1, and 5.8S ribosomal RNA
Rfam family: Eukaryotic small subunit ribosomal RNA (bases 1-47)
Source: RNAcentral
AAAGUCGUAACAAGGUUUCCGUAGGUGAACCUGCGGAAGGAUCAUUAUUGAAUAAAUCUGGCGUGGUUGUAGCUGGCCCUCACGGGCAUGUGCUCGCUCGUCACCUUUAUCUUUCCACCUGUGAACACACUGUAGUCCUGGAUACCUCUCGCCGCAAGGCGGAUGCGGAGAUUGCUGGUCCACCUUCAUUGGAGGUCAGCUUUCUCUGAAUUUCCAGGGCUAUGAUCUUAUACACCCCAAUUGAAUGUUAUAGAAUGUCAUCAUAAGGCUUCGUGCCUAUAAACCUAUACAACUUUCAGCAACGGAUCUCUUGGCUCUC